Molecule: long non-coding RNA, 1459 nt
Organism: Oryzias melastigma (Indian medaka)
Lineage: Eukaryota; Metazoa; Chordata; Actinopteri; Beloniformes; Adrianichthyidae
Exons: 3
Source: RefSeq, a predicted model, not a curated record
UUGUUUCAAAAAUAAAAGCAUUUAAACAAUAAAAUGAGAAACAAAUAAACCAGCAACAGGAUUUUGAUUUCCUCAUUUUUCCAUCUGAUGUUGUGAUGGUUGGAAAUGGAAACAAGGCAACACAAAAAAGGAACUGUUGGCACGAGGAGAUGACAAAACGCAACGAGGAAGGUCAAGAGCGCCUGGCAGCACCAGCUCAUCCUCAGCCCCGCGGGGCUCGGGACAACACAUGCUCACGCCCCGUGUCUGUAAUCCAACACCUGAGAGACGACGAGUGGAAAAGCAACCAAAAAAUCACGUCAUCAAUCAAAACACCAAGAAGUUUCCUAUCUGUUGAGACCCGACGAGGUCCUCCGUUCUCAAACAUCCCGAUGUGGACUGUGAGUUAUCCUUCAGAUGAUAACUGAAACCCUGGACUCUGAACUUUCCCCAAAUGUUUUUGGAAAUUCUCAGAGAAGGAUCCAAACUUCCCAGGGACAUAGAAGCUACCACUGCAGCUGGGAUUUCAUUUUAAUAAUAAAACAAUGCAACCAGACACUUCUCUCUGACUUUUCCACUCGGUAGAACUGUUAUUGUUACACUAUGGUGAUUCUCCUGCUCUUUUCUGAACGUUGAAAACUCAAUUACAGCAAUUUCAACAAACUUGGAAUCAAAACGUUCAGCUUGUUCAGGACUAUGGGAAGUUCUUGGAUCAACAGAGGAAUCCGUUUGAUUGCAAAAGGUUUGGUAUUUCAACCUCACUUCCCUUCAUUUUCCUUGAAACCUAAAGAACUCCGCUCACAAUAGGUCAGGGAUAUUGAUAUUUACACGAGUGCUUUUCCUGUUUGCUCUGAAUUUUAAUGGAAUAUAUAAAAGUUCCUUUUGAUAUUACUAAUAAAGAAUGAAAAGAAAAACUUUUUUCAUUAGUUUGAUAUUUAUUACCCCAAAAAUGAAGACAACAACAGUUGUUGAAAAAGUUUUUCAGGUGUGCCGUGGGAAAUUAUUCAUUUUUAAUUAUCUAAAAACAUUUUUUUAUCACCAGAAGAUCAUCUCUGUUUUCAUCCAAACAGACCCUGAUAAAACACUGAAUAGUUAGGAACACGAAAGACCAUAAAAUACUUUUAUUUGUGUUUAUUUGAUUCCAAUAAAGACUUUUUGAUAAGAAUGACAGUCCUGCAAGUUAGCCACAGCUAGCUGUUUUUUGGAAAACAACUGUCUCCACCAAUCAUUCAUGGAGGCUUAAUCAUGUGAUCAGCCUGACCAAUCAAAAGUUGUUCACAUCCUCACUUUUUUGGCUCAUAAAGUCUUACAGUUCCAACAAAAAUAACAGCUGAAGCUCGUGUUUAGCGGUUUAGCUUCCCGCCAGAUCCGGUGUCAGAAUGUGGAAAAAGUGAACAAAAUAACGAAGCUCAGUGUCAGUUUUUGCACUGCAUCUCCCAUAAUGCACUGGGUUAAAGUGACAGCACUUCGGCACUAUGAU